Small nuclear RNA from Sciurus carolinensis (gray squirrel), 104 nucleotides. The record is from RefSeq and is a predicted model, not a curated record. NCBI's taxonomy places the organism in Eukaryota, Metazoa, Chordata, Mammalia, Rodentia, Sciuridae.
GUGCUCACUUCAGCACCACAUAUACUAAAAUUGAAAUGAUACAGAGAUUAGCAUGGCCCCUGCACAGGGAUGAUAUGCAAAUUUGUGAAGCAUUCCAUUUUUUG